RNAcentral lists this unclassified non-coding RNA (346 nucleotides) under soil metagenome. Its description in RNAcentral is "partial contains 5.8S ribosomal RNA, internal transcribed spacer 2, and large subunit ribosomal RNA". The stretch from base 1 to 120 matches the Rfam family "5.8S ribosomal RNA", at positions 35 to 154 of the family's 154-position model. The record is from RNAcentral.
GAUGAAGAACGUAGUAAAAUGCGAUAAUUAAUGUGAAUUGCAGAAUUCAGUGAAUCAUCGAGUCUUUGAACGCACAUUGCGCCCCCUGGUAUUCCGGGGGGCAUGCCUGUCCGAGCGUCAUUGCUGCCCUCAAGCACGGCUUGUGUGUUGGGCUUCCGUCCCUGGCAACGGGGACGGGCCCAAAAGGCAGUGGCGGCACCAUGUCUGGUCCUCGAGCGUAUGGGGCUUUGUCACCCGCUCCCGUAGGUCCAGCUGGCAGCUAGCCUCGCAACCAAUCUUUUUAACCAGGUUGACCUCGGAUCAGGUAGGGAUACCCGCUGAACUUAAGCAUAUCAUAAGCGGAGGA